UACGAAGGAUUCGAGCGUUAUCCGGAUUUAUUGGGUUUAAAGGGUGCGUAGGUGGAUUAAUAAGUCAGUGGUGAAAGCCCGAAGCUCAACUUCGGAACUGCCAUUGAUACUGUUAAUCUUGAGUACAAUUGAAGUGGGCGGAAUGUGUCAUGUAGCGGUGAAAUGCUUAGAUAUGACACAGAACACCGAUUGCGAAGGCAGCUCACUAAGUUGUAACUGACACUGAGGCACGAAAGCGUGGGGAGCAAACAGG
RNAcentral lists this ribosomal RNA (253 nucleotides) under uncultured bacterium. RNAcentral's name for it is "partial 16S ribosomal RNA". It matches the Rfam family "Bacterial small subunit ribosomal RNA", at positions 524 to 776 of the family's 1533-position model. The record is from RNAcentral.